Molecule: unclassified non-coding RNA, 313 nt
Filed under: plant metagenome
Description: partial contains 5.8S ribosomal RNA, internal transcribed spacer 2, and large subunit ribosomal RNA
Rfam family: 5.8S ribosomal RNA (bases 1-105)
Source: RNAcentral
GAAAUGCGAUAAUUAAUGUGAAUUGCAGAAUUCAGUGAAUCAUCGAGUCUUUGAACGCACAUUGCGCCCCCUGGUAUUCCGGGGGGCAUGCCUGUCCGAGCGUCAUUGCUGCCCUCAAGCACGGCUUGUGUGUUGGGCUUCCGUCCCUGGCAACGGGGACGGGCCCAAAAGGCAGUGGCGGCACCAUGUCUGGUCCUCGAGCGUAUGGGGCUUUGUCACCCGCUCCCGUAGGUCCAGCUGGCAGCUAGCCUCGCAACCAAUCUUUUUACCAGGUUGACCUCGGAUCAGGUAGGGAUACCCGCUGAACUUAAGC